UGAGUAGAUCAGACGGUCGCGCGUCCAAGUGCCGAAAGGCCGGGCGUGAGGAAAGUCCGAGCUCCGCAGGGCAGGAUGCUGGAUAACGUCCAGUGGGGGUGACCCUAAGGAAAGUGCAACAGAAAUAUACCGCCGAGCAAUCGGUAAGGGUGGAAAGGCGAGGUAAGAGCUCACCGCUUCUCUGGUGACAGGGAAGGCUCUGUAAACCCCAUCCGGAGCAAGACCGAAUAGAGAGCAAUACGGUGGCCCGCCGUGCUUUCGGGUAGGUCGCUAAAGCUAUGUGGCAACAUGUAGAUCAGAUAGAUGACCGUUCAAUGACAGAACUCGGCUUAUCGAUCUACUCAUGGU
Molecule: RNase P RNA, 348 nt
Filed under: Candidatus Faecimorpha stercoravium
Lineage: Bacteria; Bacillati; Bacillota; Clostridia; Eubacteriales
Description: RNase P RNA component class A
Rfam family: Bacterial RNase P class A
About the family: Ribonuclease P (RNase P) is a ubiquitous endoribonuclease, found in archaea, bacteria and eukarya as well as chloroplasts and mitochondria.
Source: RNAcentral